Molecule: ribosomal RNA, 459 nt
Filed under: uncultured bacterium
Lineage: Bacteria
Description: partial 16S ribosomal RNA
Rfam family: Bacterial small subunit ribosomal RNA
Source: RNAcentral
CCUACGGGAGGCAGCAGUGAGGAAUAUUGGUCAAUGGUCGGAAGCCUGAACCAGCCAAGUAGCGUGCAGGAGGACGGUACUGCGGAUUGUAAACUUCUUUUAUACGGGCACAAAGAGCGUGACGUGUAGGGGUUUGCAUGUACCUUAUGAAAAAGGACCGGCUAAUUCCGUGCCAGCAGCCGCGGUAAUACGGAGGGUGCGGGCGUUAUCCGGAUUUAUUGGGUUUAAAGGGUGCGCAGGCGGAAGGUCAAGUCAGCGGUAAAAUCGCGGGGCUCAACCCCGACGAGCCGUUGAAACUGGCUUGCUAGAGUGGGCGAGAAGUAUGCGGAAUGCGUGGUGUAGCGGUGAAAUGCAUAGAUAUCACGCAGAACUCCGAUUGCGAAGGCAGCAUACCGGCGCCCAACUGACGCUCAAGCACGAAAGCGUGGGUAUCGAACAGGAUUAGAUACCCCUGUAGUC